RNAcentral lists this ribosomal RNA (254 nucleotides) under uncultured bacterium. RNAcentral's name for it is "partial 16S ribosomal RNA". It matches the Rfam family "Bacterial small subunit ribosomal RNA", at positions 524 to 776 of the family's 1533-position model. The record is from RNAcentral.
UACGUAGGGGGCGAGCGUUGUCCGGAUUCAUUGGGCGUAAAGAGCUCGUAGGCGGUUCGGUAAGUCGGGUGUGAAAUCUCCACGCUCAACGUGGAGGGGCCACCUGAUACUGCCGUGACUCGAGUCCGGUAGGGGAGUGUGGAAUUCCCGGUGUAGCGGUGAAAUGCGCAGAUAUCGGGAGGAACACCAGUGGCGAAGGCGGCACUCUGGGCCGGAACUGACGCUGAGGAGCGAAAGCGUGGGUAGCAAACAGG